UUGUACUGGCUUGGUAUCAGGACUAAGGGUCAAAUCUGUGGUGUCUCUGUUCUCUAGCAAGUGCUUGGUAUUGUGUAAACAUUUUUCUCAUCUAUGUCCUGUUCUAUAGCUUCACAUGGCUGAUCGAAUAAGACGAGAUGGAGGCCGGGAGAGAAGAGCAUUUCUUCAGGGUCCUCUUGGACAUGGUGGGUAUGGACAAGCUGAAGACGUGGGCUGCAGUGAACCAUGGGGCCAUCGUGCUCUGUUGUGCCGAUGGGAGUGUUGCCGAGGAGAUCAGGGAGGUAUUAAAGGCCUACUACGCUUCAGAACUGUAAAGGAGUGGAAGUUCUGCUGAAGAAACUGGCCUGAUACAGAUACCAUCUCACCAAAAUUGACCCCCUCUGAGACAUUUCACCAACUAUUGUGACCUCACCAACUGGAGUCACAGGUUCUCAUAACUGUCCCCCCCAGUCCUUUGACCUGACCAUCCUGGUAAAAUCCCUACUAUGACAUGAAGAUGGAAAGAAAUACUGAUUUGUACUGCCUUUUGUCAAAUUCAUUUAGGUGUGCUUGUUUGUAAAGCGGUGGAGCAAGUAUUUAAAUGUAAAAGGCACAAAUACUGGCAGUGUUUUUGUAUAAUCUUGUACAACUCAUACCGAUCAGUUACUAGCUGACCCAGGAGCUGGAAUUAACUAAAAGAAAACAUGUUAUUGCAACACAAACUAUACAUUGGCAGAGAAUGUCAGUAAGCAAAUUUCCCCCCAAAAUGUUUCUCAUCUAUAGAAUAUUAACCCUGAUGGUUUGUGUGUCGUCACCUUUAUGCCACGUUAAAUCACCAAGCCGUGGUCCGGUCUGGUAGUCUCCUCAUCUAUGACGGAAGGAAGCCUGCAUUCUCACUAGCAAAUUCAUUUAGUGGGCCCUGCUCAGGUUCCAUCUGUCCUGGUGUCUGAUCCGGACAGACCCAGUCAGACGAAACGGCUUAUUUCUUCCAGAGACCUCACAUUCUUCUAAUCAGUAGAGGAUUAUCAAUGGCUGCCUGUGUGGCUACUAUUUGGGAGGUUUAGGCUCAUGGCAGUAGUCGGACUUGCACUACUUUAGAGAAUUUUGUUGACCAGUGAAGACAAUUUGGGAAUCAAAUCAACAUUGAGAGCUGUGCUGUUAUUUUGAUGAUGCUCUUUUUAGCAAAAGGUCUGAAGUUGAAAUACAGUAUCAAUGUCCAGGUGGCUGGUGAACCUUGUGGGUGACA
Molecule: long non-coding RNA, 1225 nt
Organism: Oncorhynchus tshawytscha (Chinook salmon)
Lineage: Eukaryota; Metazoa; Chordata; Actinopteri; Salmoniformes; Salmonidae
Exons: 3
Source: RefSeq, a predicted model, not a curated record